UCUAACUUAGUUAUUAUAUUUAAAAGUAGCAGUAGUGCAGUGUGAACCUGAACACACAGUUAGCUGUUGAAGCUGUGAAGGCAGCAGCAGGUGAAACCUCUCUUAGCUCAUAAAGCUUUAAACCUUGGCUUUUGAUCCCAUUACCGCUGAGCUCAGGGCGGGAGGGACCUGCCAACAACACAACUCGUUUGUCAUUAAGUGCCACACAACUCGUGUUUGCAAAGAGACAAGAUGYGCGGCCGUGCCCUGCUGCUGACCGAGCUGAAGCUGUGGGCUUUAGGGAGGAAAAGAUGGACCAGACUCCACCACGGCUUCAGAGGCUGUGGAAAGGCUUUCUUAUCUUCCAGUUGUCCUAAGGUGUGUGUUGUUGGAGCUGGUCCAGCUGGUUUCUACACGACACAGCAUCUCAUCAAGGCCCACCCAGACGUUGAAGUGGACAUUUACGAGCGGCUGCCGGUCCCCUUUGGACUGGUCAGGUUUGGAGUGGCCCCCGAUCAUCCUGAAGUCAAGAAUGUCAUAAAUACUUUCACACAAACUGCUAAACAUGUCCGCUGUAGUUUCUAUGGCAAUGUAACCGUUUGUAAAGAUGUCAGUGUCAGCGAGCUGCAACAAGCGUACCACGCCGUUGUACUGAGUUAUGGAGCAGAGGGAAACCGGCGUAUGGGGGUACCAGGAGAAGACCUGGCUGGUGUGUACUCAGCCAAAGACUUUGUGGGCUGGUAUAACGGGCUGCCCAGCUGUCAGGACCUCAGUCCAGAGCUGAGCUGUGAAACUGCAGUCAUUCUGGGACAAGGCAACGUGGCCUUAGAUGUGGCAAGAAUCCUGCUGUGUCCUGUAGACGUGUUGAAGAGCACAGACAUCACUCAGCCGGCUCUGGACGCCCUGGCACACAGUCAGAUCCGCAGAGUGCUGAUUGUUGGGAGGAGGGGUCCCAUGCAGGUUGCUUGUACAAUUAAGGAGCUCAGAGAAAUGGUGAACCUGCCUGGCAGCAGACCUGAAAUGGUGGAGGCUGAUUUUAAAUGUGUCUCAGAAGCUCUCAAAGACCUGCCCCGGCCCAGGAAGCGUCUGACAGAGUUGAUGCUGAAGACCGCCCUGGAGYCCCCAGGAGAGGAGGAGCAGCAGAGAAGGGAGAAGGCCUCCCGCUCCUGGGGUUUUAGGUUCUUCAGGAGCCCUGUGGAGAUCCUGGCUGAGCCUGGCUGCAGCAGAACGGCUGGCAUCCGACUGGCAGUCACCAGGUUGGAGGGUUCAGGAGAAGGAGCCCAGGCUGUGCUGACUGGAGAACUGGAGGACCUUUCCUGUGGUCUGGUCAUCAGCAGUAUUGGCUACAGAAGCCUCCCCAUCGACCCCACAGUGCCGUUUGAUUCCCACAAAGCCAUCGUGCCAAACAGCAACGGACGCGUUCCUCAAGUCCCAGGUCUGUACUGCAGUGGCUGGCUGAAAACAGGCCCUACAGGUGUGAUCGCCACGACCAUGAAUAACAGCUUUGACACGGCCCGCUCUCUGCUGGAGGAUCUGGACUCAGGGAGGCUGGAUGUGUCUGCUGUUAAAGCUGGAUCACAGAGCAUCAGGGCUCUGCUGGAAACACGAGGAGUGAAACCAGUGAGUUUCUCAAAGUGGGAGAAGAUUGACAGCCUGGAGAUGAGGAGGGGGCAGGCCUGUGGGAAACCCAGAGAGAAACUGCUGAGUGUGCAAGAAAUGCUGAAGGUGGCCCAGACAUGACUGAAAUAAACUGAUGAACUGUUGAUAUAAUAAUAAUAAAAACACAGCACAUGUGGAGCAGAGGGUGGGAGCUCAGAGAUUGUUUCUAACUGUGAGUCUGUGUUUCACACUUACAUUCGUCGGACCCUAAAGGAAUAUUAUCAAACCCACUGCAGUAAAAUGCACAUCAGCAGUGCGUGAUGUCUUAUUUAUUCAUAGAUAUUAAAACUUAAUGGUAAACUUUAAACAGACGAUAUAAAACAGAUGACUCUG
RNA transcript from Austrofundulus limnaeus, 1971 nucleotides. It is a transcript of the gene named ferredoxin reductase, with no coding region annotated. The record is from RefSeq and is a predicted model, not a curated record. The transcript is spliced from 13 exons. Lineage: Eukaryota; Metazoa; Chordata; Actinopteri; Cyprinodontiformes; Rivulidae.